Molecule: unclassified non-coding RNA, 253 nt
Filed under: uncultured Bacillaceae bacterium
Lineage: Bacteria; Bacillati; Bacillota; Bacilli; Caryophanales; Bacillaceae
Description: contains 16S-23S intergenic spacer region
Rfam family: Bacterial small subunit ribosomal RNA
Source: RNAcentral
UACAUAGGGUCCGAGCGUUAUCCGGAAUUAUUGGGCGUAAAGCGCUCGCAGGCGGUCCUUUAAGUCUGAUGUGAAAUCUCGCGGCUCAACCGCGAAAGGUCAUUGGAAACUGGGGGACUUGAGUACAGAAGAGGAGAGUGGAAUUCCACGUGUAGCGGUGAAAUGCGUAGAGAUGUGGAGGAACACCAGUGGCGAAGGCGACUCUCUGGUCUGUAAUUGACGCUGAGGCUCGAAAGCGUGGGGAGCGAACAGG